Molecule: ribosomal RNA, 253 nt
Filed under: uncultured bacterium
Lineage: Bacteria
Description: partial 16S ribosomal RNA
Rfam family: Bacterial small subunit ribosomal RNA
Source: RNAcentral
UACAGAGGUCUCAAGCGUUGUUCGGAUUCAUUGGGCGUAAAGGGUGCGUAGGCGGCGCGGUAAGUCGGGUGUGAAAUCUCGGAGCUCAACUCCGAAACUGCAUUCGAUACUGCCGUGCUUGAGGACUGGAGAGGAGACUGGAAUUUACGGUGUAGCGGUGAAAUGCGUAGAUAUCGUAAGGAAGACCAGUGACGAAGGCGGGUCUCUGGACAGUUCCUGACGCUGAGGCACGAAGGUCAGGGGAGCAAACGGG